GCGCGCUCGCCACCGUCCAAAUGACCCAGGAUUUGCCCUGAUUCACUUGCACCGGGUGCAUGCGAUAAUUUCUCGAGGGAGAGGGGUUCCGUUCUGGCGGUACCGCUGCGUGCUGCACCUUUCUCGUGGUCCUCUCGAUCGAGCCAAUGAGAGGCAGGCCUGGGUGGGGGACCAGCGGAAGAGGGGCCUCGCUUUCCGUGCUCCAGAGGGCCCAUUUGUGCCCCUCAACACCGCUCCAUGGUCCCCGGCUGGGGACGUACGGAUCUCUCCAAUCGUAGAUGAUUCCCAUGGUACCGCCGACCAUGGCUGAUGAUCGGUGGUGCUUUAAUUAUGCCUUUUAUUUUCUUUUCUCCCUUCUUCCAUUUUAAUUUUUAUUUUAUCUUUUUAAUUUCUCUGAUGAACAAUAUUUGAAAGCUAAGUGUACAGAAAA
This 430-nucleotide long non-coding RNA is filed under the name Elaeis guineensis (African oil palm). RNAcentral describes it as "long non-coding RNA (EGUI_LNC075860)". Lineage: Eukaryota; Viridiplantae; Streptophyta; Magnoliopsida; Arecales; Arecaceae. The record is from RNAcentral.